UACAGAGGGUGCAAGCGUUAAUCGGAAUUACUGGGCGUAAAGCGAGCGUAGGUGGCUUGAUAAGUCAGAUGUGAAAUCCCCGGGCUUAACCUGGGAACUGCAUCUGAUACUGUUAGGCUAGAAUAGGUGAGAGGAAGGUAGAAUUCCAGGUGUAGCGGUGAAAUGCGUAGAGAUCUGGAGGAAUACCGAUGGCGAAGGCAGCCUUCUGGCAUCAUAUUGACACUGAGGUUCGAAAGCGUGGGUAGCAAACAGG
RNAcentral lists this ribosomal RNA (253 nucleotides) under uncultured bacterium. RNAcentral's name for it is "partial 16S ribosomal RNA". It matches the Rfam family "Bacterial small subunit ribosomal RNA", at positions 524 to 776 of the family's 1533-position model. The record is from RNAcentral.